UAAUAAUACAAGAUGUUAUUACUAGCAAUAUACUCACAUAUUGGUAGUAAUAGCCUAUUAUAUUAUAGGAUGGAGAGAGUACCUUUCACUGCCAUCAUAUAUAUAUUAGAAGAGCUACAUUGCAAUUUCACCACAUGAUUUUACAAUGUGAUUGAACUAUCUCAAUAUGAGGUCAUGGGUUCGAGUCCCGGAAAUAACCUCUCGCAGAAAUGUAGGGACAGAUUGCGUACAAAAGACCCAAAGUGGUCGAACCCUUCCCCAGACCUUGCGCAAGCGGGAGUUACGUGCAUUGAGCUGUCCUUAAUUGCUGUUGUCAAAGACCUUCGAUUUUAUACCGUGUUGAUCUUUCUGUCGGACUUUCUGACCCUCCUAGGCGCACCCUGGGGAAGUCUGUUUUAAACCUUGAAUUUGUAUGGGUGGUCGAAAUCAAACCCCAACCUCUCAAUCCUUGAGAUCCCCAUCUGCCACGCCUAUAUUGCGUGGCACAUGACCUUAUCGCUUGCCUCUUCAUAAAGGAUCUUUGCCGCCCACCUUAGGGUCACAUCACAGCGCCACCACCGACGUGAAAGGCGUGCCCCUUCUUCAUGAGUCUCAAAUGCGCGCCUCUCCGACUGUCGCGGUCGCCCAGCACGUUGCUCUGGCCUUUUUCGAGUUUCGCAUAUGUUGUCGCCUCCCUGAGCCAACGCUGGUGACCGGAGACAAACCCUCGGAAUCAUCGUCAGACCACAUCCAAUGGCAUGCCUGAAUUAGUGACCAAUGGCCUCCCCGGUGCCACGUGUGCAAUCCCUGUUUGGAAACUGACGUAAACCCUAGUCUCCCCGGUGCCACGUGUGCAAUCCCUGUUUGGAAACUGACGUAAACCCUAGUCUCCCCGGUGCCACGUGUGCAAUCCCUGUUUGGAAACUGACGUAAACCCUAGUCUCCCCGGUGCCACAUAUGCAAUCCUUGUUUGGAAACUGACGUAAACCCUAGUCUCCCCGGUGCCACAUAUGCAAUCCUUGUUUGGAAACUGACGUAAGCCCGGACUCCCCGGUACCACGUAUGCAAUCCUUGUUUGGAAACUGACGUAAGCCAUGGACUCCCCGGUGCCACAUAUGCAAUCCUUGUUUGAAAACAGACUUAGCCGUGCUACUGACCGGGAUUGUCGAUUUCCGGGAUUGAGAGGUUAGGGUUUGAUUCCAACAAGGCGUAAAAGUUCGAGGUUUAUUUCAUACUAGCCAAACCGGCUGGGCCCACAGGUCAGUGUGGCCAAACCGUGUGGCCCCACCGGUCAGCGAGCGGCGCACGGGGCCCACCAUCCAUCCACGUGAACCGCACCAGCCACCCAGAAAAAACCGAACCCACCACCGCCCCUGGCGGCCUCGCUCGCCCUUAUCCCCCCGCCCGCCUCCACACCCGCCGCCGCCGCCAUUUACUCCACCACCACUCCCUCCCUCCCUCUUUCCCCCAGAUCCAGAUCUGAACCGCCGCCCGCCGCCGAGGGGCCAUCCGAUGGAGGCGAGGAAGAGCGCGCCGGGGCAGCCCUGGUCGGACGGCGAGACCAUGCACCUCAUCGACGUCUACGAGGACCGCUGGACCAGGCUGCGCCGGGGCCAGCUCAAGGCGCACCAGUGGGAGGACGUGGCCGCCGACGUCACCCGCCGCUGCGGCGGCCAGCGCAAGACCGGCACCCAGUGCCGCCACAAGCUCGAGAAGCUCCGCAAGCGCUACCGCACCGAGGCCGCCCGCCCCGUCACCUCCCUCUGGCCCUUCUUCCGCCGCAUGGAGCGCCUCGAGCGCGGCCCCGUCCCCGUCUCCACCAACUCCUUCCCCGCCUCCCCGCCCGCCUCCGACGACGACCAAGACCAAGACCAGGACCACGACCUGGACCUGGACCUGGACCAGGAGGAGGAAGAAGAAGAUGAAGAAGAGGAAGAGGAUGGCGAGGAGGACCAAGAAGAGGAGGAGGAGGAGCAAUUGCUCGUCGCCAGAAACAGGAGCAUCAACGGCCUCGUGCGCGACGCCGGCGGGUUCAGGGGCCAUCAGCAGCAGCAGCAGCGGCGGCGCCCGUCGCCGCCUGCUGUCACGCUGUCCACCGCGCCUCCACGCAAGAGGGUCUCCUAUGAGGCCGCCAUGUUCCAGUCCAAGGCCGCCGCUGCAGACAGGGUCAAGGCUGAGGAGGCUCCCGCCGUGGACCACCACUCCGUCGCAGGCGUGUUGAGGGACAUCGGCGAGGGAAUCAAGCGGCUGGAGAGGCGGAGAAUGGAGGUGCAGUGGGAGAUUGAGCGGGGGUGGAAGGAGACGGAGGCCCGCAGUAAUCAGAUGCUCCAGGACGCCCAGCGGCAGUUACAGGACACUCUCGCCACACUGCCGCCGACGGGGAAGAAGGCCAGGAGGGACCAUGGCAGCAGUGCAGACGGCUUGCAGGAGGCUAGCUAGCGAUUGCUCGAUCUCGAUUGGGGGAUAGGCAGGUUGAAAGCUGUUUAUUUUCUUAUCUGGUGGUAGUGAAGGGAGGCAAAUAGAUUGUUCCUAGUCUUCAUCCUCUGCUCGGGAUGUAUGUAUUUAGUUCUCGUCGUGAACGAUUCUGACCAUUGUUGCUUACUUCGGUACGCAUGGCAAACCAUGCUUCUUACCAGACCAGUUGCAUUCUGUCUCUACUUUGGUUGGUCUUUGCAGUGAUUGAUGUCUUGGACAAUUGCCAUAACUUAAUUGUAUGCCCGUCACCUGAUAUGAGUGAAAAAAUGUGACUUUUUGGGCAGCAUCUCUUAAGAACCUCUUCUUGAUGAUGUGUAGUUUCUUGGCAUUAUUACCAGUGAGCUGCUCAUGUCAUAUGACUGCUCUGCUAUUUGUAUAUGCAUUGAUUUUUUUUUCAGUAUGGUGUGAAGAUUUUCAUCCUAACAUCAUUCAGAGAUACAUGCUACAUUGAAAUUCUCCCAGUCGUUCAAAAAUCAAAUAGAGUUAUAUGUUUGAGUUUUUGGGCCGAGGUGCACUACAACUCGAUAUAUCCGGAAGGAGAGUUGCCCAUCGUGGAGAACAGAAAGAAGAGGUGGUGGCACUUGGAGUUCUAGACUUGUAGUGCUAAAACCAAAAGGGGAAUAGAAGAUUUGAUUUGUUCUUUUGAUCUCAUGGCAGCUUGUCGGAUCGACGGUCGUUUUGUUCGACCAUGUGAUUACGAGGGAUCUGAGGAGCUGCGAUGCCGUAGGACUGAUGAAGAGAUUGACUGACAGUUCGUUUGUACAUAUAUAGCAGUAUCUGCACUGUUGACUGGGUCUGUGAUAUGUGAUGUGAACAUUUGUUGUAGUACUUAUAAUAUAUCUAUAUACAUCACUUAUUUUUCUA
Molecule: RNA transcript, 3318 nt
Organism: Triticum aestivum (bread wheat)
Lineage: Eukaryota; Viridiplantae; Streptophyta; Magnoliopsida; Poales; Poaceae
Gene name: OVARIAN TUMOR DOMAIN-containing deubiquitinating enzyme 12
Exons: 3
Source: RefSeq, a predicted model, not a curated record